Molecule: RNA transcript, 2200 nt
Organism: Corylus avellana
Lineage: Eukaryota; Viridiplantae; Streptophyta; Magnoliopsida; Fagales; Betulaceae
Source: RefSeq, a predicted model, not a curated record
GCACCAUUUAUAACGCACCCAUCUACCGGCCCGCCGUGAGAAAACAAUCGACCAUUCCCUACUCCGGUUCGCCUUCAAAACCCCAAACACCAUAUGAAGCGCAAGAAAUGGUCGGAGAUGGAAGAGCAGACCCUUCUGACCAAGUACUCGGAGCUCCGAAGCUCGGGAGCCUUGGCCAAGCUCAAGACCCGGGAGAAGAAAUUCAAGCCCGUGGCGGACCACGUUAAUGCGGUACACCACCUCCAGGACCCAGCUAGCUUUCCAUUCAAGUGGACCUGGCGGGACGUGUCCAUCAAGGUCCAGAACAUGCGCCACCAGUACCUGGGCGUGAAGCAGAAGAUCCGGGUCUCCAAGGACGAGUUCAACUGGAAAGAUGGGGAGAAUCACUGGGUUAAUUUCUUGAAGUACAAGGAGGUGUUUGGGGACGUGGAGCUCGACGCCAAGGGAAAGAGGCUGUACGAGAAUAUUGAUGUUUUUGGGGAUUGUGGGGAUUUGGGGUUUGGGAUUGAUUCAGAGGAUUUGGAGGAAAAGGAGCAAGAAGAUGAAGAUGAAGAUGAGGGUAAAGAAGAUGAAGACGACGAAGAAAAUGACUGUAGUGGUGGUGAUGAUGUCAAUGGUGGCGGUGGUGAUGGUGAGCAAAUUGCGAGGAGUGAUGGUGAGUUUGUAGGUGAGAGGGGAAUUGGGGAAAUGGGUUUUGCUCGGAUGAAGAAACCGAAGAAGGGUUUGGGAGUAAAUCGGAGAUUGGAAUUAAUGGGUGCAAAAGUUUCGGAGUUGAGAGAUGUGGUGGUGAAGAGGGAGGAGAGGAAAAGAGAGAGGGAGUUUCGGCGAGAGAAGGGCGAGGUAGAGAGGGAAGAAAAAAGGAAAGAGGCGCAUUUGAGGUCCGUGAAGCGGCAAUAUGAAAGAAAAGAGUGGUUGGAGAAUAGGGAAUCGGAGUUGGAAGAGAGGGAGUUGAUGUGGGCAAGGAGGGAAUCUGAGAAGAGGUUGAGAUUGGAAAGGGAAUUCGGUGAAGAGCGGAGGAGAAGGAUGAUGAUGGAGGAGGAGAGGGAAGAGGAGGAGAUGGAGUGGAGGGAGAGGAUGGUGGGGUUGCAGAUUGAGCAUGAGAAGCAAAUGAUGCAAAUGCACGCCGAGGCGUGCCAGAACCAAAUGCAGGUUCUCGGGGUGAUGGCUCGGCUUGUUUGUCAGUUUUUUGGGUCGGCGAGUGAUGGGUUGGGUGGUGCAUUGGGAGCGUUGCCGCCUCAAGUUUUGCAGCAUCCGGGGGGAUUGGGCGAUAACGGGAAGCCUGAUGCCAAUUCGCCUUCUGAAUUCAUACUGAGUGCCUUAGCACCAUAUUGCUUGGCCCAGGCAUUAUUGGGUUGCGUUUACGAGAAAUUGGACCCUCGCAAGUUUGUGGUUUUAGUCUUGCAGAUUUUACCUUUUAUUGAAAUUCCUACGGAACAGAACUUGCUCAAAGCUCCUUGCUUCAAAAGCAUCCUAACUUGAAUGGUGGCAAAAAGGUGGUAUGGAGAUGAAUAGGUCUUGGUUUUGAAUCUUGCCAAUGAUCUUUGAAGUCAGUUGGGAAGAAAGCAGAACCUCAGAGUACAUAUCUUUAUAUUCAAUUGGCAAGUGAGCUUUCAUGUCAAGAUUCAAGCUGUAACUUUGCUUUGGAAAAUGGAAGGAAUGGCUUGAAAUCCUACUGGGCAGAUGAUGUCUUUGGGGAAUCUACUGGAAUUACUUAUGAUGAGCUUAUGUAUCACUCUAUCAGCCAUACAUAUAAACUUUGGCUGGACAAGACCCUUCCUGGGGUUUGUUGGGAUUUUGAACAUGCUCUGUUUGGAUCGAGGAAUCAAUUACAGUGAUGUGCCAACUUCCGUGCACACUUAGUUGUUAAAUUGGCCUCUUUUUGCCUAGUGUUUGAAAGCAUGACCAAAGAUUCUUGUCUUUUUUCUUUUUUUCUUUUCUCUUUUAAGGAUUAAGAGUGACAAAAAUCUCCUUGUAAACCAUUUCUCCUCUUUUGAAUAAAAAAUAGGCGUACGGUGAUGUACAUUUCAAACAAGAGAAAGCCUGGUUUCCAGUACAUUUCAGUUUGAACAAAGCGAACGAUAUUGGGAUGAUUGGAUUCGGCCAAAACCCUCCAGGUACUUUUUGCCUGAACUUCUCGCAUGGCUGGCACUUGGCAGGAAAAGGGCCUACUAAUUGGCAUUUUGCUAGAUGGGUCUUUCAA